RNAcentral lists this long non-coding RNA (403 nucleotides) under Physcomitrium patens. Its description in RNAcentral is "long non-coding RNA (PPAT_LNC003944)". The record is from RNAcentral. Lineage: Eukaryota; Viridiplantae; Streptophyta; Bryopsida; Funariales; Funariaceae.
AGGUCCAAAGACGCCAACAAAAGCUCCAUUUUGACCUUCCAAUGGUAGAAAUUGUUCCCUCUAAACUUCUCAAUCACUCUCAAAACUUCACCCUCACUAGAAGCCAUGUCUAAGGAAGAGUGUAUCAAAAAAUAUUGAAAAAAGGAGUCUCUAAAAGCUUAAAAUCACCAAACGAAGUUUGCACUAGCAGAAUCUCAGAAUGCCCUGUUAUGAACAAAAGAGUGGUAUCUCACUGGAAACACUUUCAACUCAACUUGUGAAGCUUUCUUCAAGUAAUUGCACCCUCAUGGAACUCACAAUCACUCAUCUUAAUCACUUUCUCAUCAAAAUACUCAAGGAUAAUGAAGAAACUUCACCAACUCAAAAGACACUAUCAAGGUCUUUCUACAAAGUCUUAACCUCA